Molecule: ribosomal RNA, 728 nt
Filed under: uncultured bacterium
Lineage: Bacteria
Description: bacterial SSU rRNA
Rfam family: Bacterial small subunit ribosomal RNA
Source: RNAcentral
CGAGGGGCAGCGGGGCGGCAGGCUUGCCUGCCGCCGCCGGCGACCGGCGCUCGGGUGAGUAACACGUAUGCAACCUGCCCGUGGCAGGGGGAUAAGCGGGGGAAACCCCGUCUAAUACCGCGUAACGCGGCCUAGGGACAUCCCAAGGCCGCCAAAGGGAGCAAUCCCGGCCACGGAUGGGCAUGCGGCGCAUUAGCUAGUCGGCGGGGUAACGGCCCACCGAGGCGACGAUGCGUAGGGGUUCUGAGAGGAAGGCCCCCCACACUGGUACUGAGACACGGACCAGACUCCUACGGGAGGCAGCAGUGAGGAAUAUUGGUCAAUGGGCGCGAGCCUGAACCAGCCAAGUCGCGUGAGGGAGGACGGCCCUACGGGUUGUAAACCUCUUUUGCCGGGGAGCAACGGGCGCCACGUGUGGCGCCACUGAGAGUACCCGGAGAAAAAGCAUCGGCUAACUCCGUGCCAGCAGCCGCGGUAAUACGGAGGAUGCGAGCGUUAUCCGGAUUUAUUGGGUUUAAAGGGUGCGUAGGCGGAUCGUUAAGUCAGUGGUCAAAUUGAGGGGCUCAACCCCUUCCCGCCAUUGAAACUGGCGAUCUUGAGUGGAAGAGAAGUAUGCGGAAUGCGUGGUGUAGCGGUGAAAUGCAUAGAUAUCACGCAGAACCCCGAUUGCGAAGGCAGCAUGCCGGCUUCCUACUGACGCUGAAGCACGAAAGCGUGGGGAUCGAACA